AUACUUCUACAGCACAUAGACUAAAACUGGGAUGAUACAGAGAAGAUGCACAUGGCCCCUGUGCAGGGAAGACAUGCAAAUUCAUGGGGUGUUCUAUGUUAAA
Nycticebus coucang (slow loris) is the source of this 103-nucleotide small nuclear RNA. NCBI's taxonomy places the organism in Eukaryota, Metazoa, Chordata, Mammalia, Primates, Lorisidae. The record is from RefSeq and is a predicted model, not a curated record.